This 838-nucleotide ribosomal RNA is filed under the name Acinetobacter baumannii. RNAcentral describes it as "partial 16S ribosomal RNA". It matches the Rfam family "Bacterial small subunit ribosomal RNA", at positions 23 to 858 of the family's 1533-position model. Lineage: Bacteria; Pseudomonadati; Pseudomonadota; Gammaproteobacteria; Moraxellales; Moraxellaceae. The record is from RNAcentral.
CCNUGGAUCCUGUCGGAGGAAGUUUGAUNUCNGCUCGUCACAGCNUCCGGAAAGGUAGCUUGCUACCGGACCUAGCGGCGGACGGGUGAGUAAUGCUUAGGAAUCUGCCUAUUAGUGGGGGACAACAUCUCGAAAGGGAUGCUAAUACCGCAUACGUCCUACGGGAGAAAGCAGGGGAUCUUCGGACCUUGCGCUAAUAGAUGAGCCUAAGUCGGAUUAGCUAGUUGGUGGGGUAAAGGCCUACCAAGGCGACGAUCUGUAGCGGGUCUGAGAGGAUGAUCCGCCACACUGGGACUGAGACACGGCCCANACUCCUACGGGAGGCAGCAGUGGGGAAUAUUGGACAAUGGGGGGAACCCUGAUCCAGCCAUGCCGCGUGUGUGAAGAAGGCCUUAUGGUUGUAAAGCACUUUAAGCGAGGAGGAGGCUACUUUAGUUAAUACCUAGAGAUAGUGGACGUUACUCGCANAAUAAGCACCGGCUAACUCUGUGCCAGCAGCCGCGGUAAUACAGAGGGUGCGAGCGUUAAUCGGAUUUACUGGGCGUAAAGCGUGCGUAGGCGGCUUAUUAAGUCGGAUGUGAAAUCCCCGAGCUUAACUUGGGNAAUUGCAUUCNAUACUGGUGAGCUAAANUAUGGGAGAGGAUGGUANAAUUCCAGGUGUANCGGUGAAUGCGUAAAGAUCUGGAGGAAUACCGAUGGCGAANGCACCCAUCUGGCCUAUAAUGACNCUGAGUACNAAACCNUGGGGAACNAACAGGAUUAANACCNGGGAGUCCAUGCCGUAAACAAUGUNUACUACCCGUUGGGGCCCUUNGAGCUUUUAUNGCCCCACUNACCC